RNAcentral lists this ribosomal RNA (468 nucleotides) under uncultured bacterium. RNAcentral describes it as "partial 16S ribosomal RNA". It matches the Rfam family "Bacterial small subunit ribosomal RNA", at positions 28 to 507 of the family's 1533-position model. The record is from RNAcentral.
GAUGAACGCUGGCGGCGUGCUUAACACAUGCAAGUCGAACGGUGAAGGCGGAGCUUGCUCUGCUGGAUCAGUGGCGAACGGGUGAGUAACACGUGAGCAAUCUGCCCCUGACUCUGGGAUAAGCGCUGGAAACGGCGUCUAAUACUGGAUACGAGCUGCGAAGGCAUCUUCAGCAGCUGGAAAGAAUUUCGGUCAGGGAUGAGCUCGCGGCCUAUCAGCUUGUUGGUGAGGUAAUGGCUCACCAAGGCGUCGACGGGUAGCCGGCCUGAGAGGGUGACCGGCCACACUGGGACUGAGACACGGCCCAGACUCCUACGGGAGGCAGCAGUGGGGAAUAUUGCACAAUGGGCGAAAGCCUGAUGCAGCAACGCCGCGUGAGGGACGACGGCCUUCGGGGUGUAAACCUCUUUUAGCAGGGAAGAAGCGAAAGUGACGGUACCUGCAGAAAAAGCGCCGGCUAACUACGUG